GAGACUGACAACAUCAGAAGAUGCAAUGGCUUGGCUUAGAGUUUUUGAAGUGGAAGACCUGUUAAUCAGUAGUUGUUGCAUGAUUGUGAAGUAUACUCUUCAGACUUGGCUUGGGCCAGGAGGACUUGAGCAUGUGACUUUUGAGCUAGGAAAGUUGUAGAGCUUUGAGCAGAAGUUGAAGGAAGUUGUUUUUGUUCCUUAGGCUAUUUGAGUAGCCAUUCUUCUACAGUUGCUAAGGAGGCUUUUUGAUGCUUUUUGAAACUUGGACCACCAUCUAAUUUUGAAUUUUUUGAUUAGAACUGGUCCUUGGAGAAGUUGAUCAGUCUUGUAAUCAUAAUCCCAUGAGAGGACCCAUGGUAUAAAGAAUUUUGAAGCAAAAAGUAUUAGCGGAUGAAAUAGAUCUUCUUCAGUUGUAGGCUUAUAG
RNAcentral lists this unclassified non-coding RNA (424 nucleotides) under Hevea brasiliensis (rubber tree). Lineage: Eukaryota; Viridiplantae; Streptophyta; Magnoliopsida; Malpighiales; Euphorbiaceae. The record is from RNAcentral.